Molecule: ribosomal RNA, 134 nt
Filed under: Mytilus edulis (blue mussel)
Lineage: Eukaryota; Metazoa; Mollusca; Bivalvia; Mytilida; Mytilidae
Also listed under: 1 other name
Description: partial 16S ribosomal RNA
Source: RNAcentral
CAGUUUCUAUCCUCUUUUUGAAAUGAGCUAAUUUUGUACGAAAGGACUUUUUCGCUAAAGCAAUGCUUUGUCACAAAUCUGUGGUUGCAUAAAUAAUAGGGUAUAAUAGGUUGAUUAGCCUAUAGGAAGGGUUA